UAUUCGCUUCUAAGUGGAAUAGA
This 23-nucleotide small nuclear RNA is filed under the name Arabidopsis thaliana (thale cress). RNAcentral describes it as "snRNA_18413". Lineage: Eukaryota; Viridiplantae; Streptophyta; Magnoliopsida; Brassicales; Brassicaceae. The record is from RNAcentral.